CCUACGGGAGACAGCAGUAGGGAAUAUUGCUCAAUGGGGGAAACCCUGAAGCAGCAACGCCGCGUGGAGGAUGAAGGUUUUCGGAUUGUAAACUCCUUUUGUUAGAGAAGAUAAUGACGGUAUCUAACGAAUAAGCACCGGCUAACUCCGUGCCAGCAGCCGCGGUAAUACGGAGGGUGCAAGCGUUACUCGGAAACACUGGGCGUAAAGGGCGCGUAGGCGGGAUAGCAAGUCAGAUGUGAAAUCCUAUGGCUUAACCAUAGAACUGCAUUUGAAACUGUUAUUCUAGAGUAUGGGAGAGGUAGGUGGAAUGCUUGGUGUAGGGGUAAAAUCCGUAGAGAUCAAGAGGAAUACUCAUUGCGAAGGCGACCUGCUAGAACAUAACUGACGCUGAUGCGCGAAAGCGUGGGGAGCAAACAGGAUUAGAUACCCCAGUAGUC
Molecule: ribosomal RNA, 440 nt
Filed under: uncultured bacterium
Lineage: Bacteria
Description: partial 16S ribosomal RNA
Rfam family: Bacterial small subunit ribosomal RNA
Source: RNAcentral